AACUUUUAAAAACGGAUCUCUUGGCUCUCGCAUCGAUGAAGAACGCAGCGAAAUGCGUUAAGUAAUGUGAAUUGCAGAAUUCAGUGAAUCAUCGAAUCUUUGAACGCACCUUGCGCUCCUUGGUAUUCCGAGGAGCAUGCCUGUUUGAGUGUCAUUAAAUUAUCAAUCUUUCUGGCUAUGUCAUGUAGCUGGUCAGGCUUGGAUGUGGGGGUUGCGGGCUUCUCAGAAGUCGGCUCUCCUUAAAUGCAUUAGUGGAACCUUUGUCGAUUCUCGCUCUGGUGUGAUAGUUUAUCUACGCCAAAUGCAAAAAGUUGACGCUUUUCUAUUGAAAGGGGGUUCUGCUUUCUAACCGUCCCUUACUUGUGAACAACUUCUUGACACAUGACCUCAAAUCAGGUAGGACUACCCGCUGAACUUAAGCAUAUCAAUAAGCGGAGGCU
Molecule: unclassified non-coding RNA, 440 nt
Filed under: uncultured Clitocybe
Lineage: Eukaryota; Fungi; Basidiomycota; Agaricomycetes; Agaricales; Tricholomataceae
Description: sequence contains ITS2
Rfam family: 5.8S ribosomal RNA (bases 1-154)
Source: RNAcentral